AAGGCCUUCGGGUUGUAAACCGCGUUUUGUCAGGGAACGAAAUCCUUUAGAAAUAAUACUUCGGAGGGAUGACGGUACCUGAAGAAUAAGCACCGGCUAACUACGUGC
This 108-nucleotide ribosomal RNA is filed under the name uncultured bacterium. RNAcentral's name for it is "partial 16S ribosomal RNA". The record is from RNAcentral.